CGCAAGAAAGUCCCCCUCAUCAUUUUCCCUGAUUCCCCACUUUUCUUCCCGUCGCCGGAGCUGCGUCUCCGUCCCCCUCCCUCCGCCGCGGUCCCAUGGAGGAGAUCAGGCCGGUGGGGAGCACAGGGAAGACACAACUGAGCUGGAUGUGGAGACAGGGAGGCGGCGGGGAUGGGGAUAUGGUCAGUGGCACAAAGAGUUGGGGAGGUGGUGCCCACGGAGAAGUCCCGAUCUUCCUAGAGCACCACGCCUCCAACGGCGGCAUUCUUCAGAUUGGCCCCGUCUGUGUUCAUCUCCGGCCGCCGCGUCCAGCGCCAACAAGCCUGGAUUUCGUGGUUUCUCUCUCUAGCGAGGUAUGCCGACUCGUCUUCUAGACUCGCUUGAGUGCGAUUUUCCUGCUUGUACGUGUGGUUACUUUCAUGUAUAUCCGUCGUGCUCCUUCCUAUGUUUAUGUAUACUACUCCGUAUAUGCCAAAGAGGCGACGGAUCCUUCUCCAAUUGCUAAAGGUGUGGUACCAAUCUGUUUGCUGGUUGCGUGGAGUCCGUCUUCUCCGUGUACCCUUCAGUGGAUGGGGAGCCUCUCCCCUGGCUUUCCUCUGCCGGGCCUCCUCCACGUUCCCCACCUGGAGCUCUGCGUCGCAGCCGUUCUGGACCAUGCCAUAUCCAUUUUUCAGAACACUUUCACUCAUCCCGGUACAUGGUAUUGCAAUGACUAUACACAAAGAAUGCUCGGGCUUGCAUGCAACUGAUGGUUUUGCAACUCAGCCUUAGUGCCAAAGAAAGUGUCAUUUCGAAGCAUCUGUUGUGUUUACACAGGAGAAGUAAUCUCAUGGAAUUAAUUGCCCCACUUUUUGUUGGAUUUGGUCGCAUUACUUGGCUAACUACACUCAAGAAGAAAUUCUAGCUGAUGUGUUCUUUUUGGUCACAACGAUGGGCAAUCUCUGGUAUUGAUUAUCCUUUUGUUUGGCUCUGGUUCUUACCUGUUUUUUCUUUGCAUUUGUGAACAAGGGGCACUCUUACUUGUGAGAAGAUGGGUUAUGAUCUCUGCGAUGUCAUCAUUUCAUUAACAAAUUUAUUGAUCUGGUCCGGCUGGCUGAUCUGCUUCGCGGGCAUUGGUCGGAUUGGUCUUGGUUGAUCUGGUCCAAUGGCAUCUGGAUUCUAUUUGAUCUUGUGCGUUUUUCUGGUCUGGAUUUGCUCUCUUAAAGUUUUUGAUUCAUCUUCUCUAGGUCCCUUAUUUCAUUUUCGCAUACUUAGUUUGCCGCUUGGUCCAUGCUGUGGUUUAUAGACUAUUUUUUUAUCUAAACUAGAGUUUGUUUCCAUUUACCUGUGUUAAUUAGAUUUCAUUGUGGUUGUAGUUUCUGUAGUUAAAAAAAUUUAUUGUUAUUCCUCUACAUGCUUUCGUGGUUUAGGGCCAGCGUCUUGGAAGGAAAUAAAUAAUAUUGUGAUAUUUCUCUAACCGAUUGAUGUUCCCGUUGCUAAAUAAAUUUAUGUUAUCCAUGUACAUGCUUAAUGCCUUAGGUCUAUCUUGCUAGGGAGGAAAUGAAAGAACAUUAUUUAUCUGUUCAUGAGUAUCAUUAUGAUGUCAAAGAAAUGACCACUUGCGCCCUGAAAGAAAGAACAUUGUUUAUCUUCCUAGGUAAAUGCACUUUUUGUUCAGCUGAAAACAAAUUGCUAACUGCAAAGAAAAGUAUCAUCACACUUCAAUAGAGGAGGAUAAAUGUAAUUUUUAACCAUCCAGGUCAGCUUCAGUGCAGUUGUCUGCUAUUGUGUGUUUUUAAAUUGAUUUACUCCCCCACUUUCCUUUGCCGACUUAAACUGUAUUUUUAAUUUCCAAUCACUGAAGCUGCAGCCUUUUAAGUUAUAGGUUUUAGGUCACUGCAGGAAAUCCAGUAAGCCCCUUUAAACCCCUCUGAAGUUCAUGUAAUCUAAUCUUGUAGUGAGGUCAUGGUGGUAUCCAUGAUGAGUGUGGCCUCAAUUCACUACAGGUUUUGAAGGAUCACAUAGACAAUAUUUGUAAUGUGCUUGCUGGCUAUGAAGUUGUUUGGGAGGCCUAUAUACUUUGUCCACUAGGAAAUUGGCAAUUCAUUAAGUGCUCUGUGCUUUUUGUUCUUAUAUUGAGCUGUAGGUUCAUGAUUGUUGCUGAGGGUGGCCACACUUCAGCCGUUGGCUCUCCUGGCGUGCCUAUCAUCACGUCUCAGUACAUGCAGUUCAUGAAAGGUAAUACUGAAGCCUGCAAAUAUUUUGUAGUUUUUUUUCGAUUUCCUUCUUGCACUUAAUGUCUGUAUGUACGUUCAUGUAACAACUCUUUCAUUGGAUUACAUGCAAACUCGCAAAAUUCGAUUAUCUGUCAAAUUCUACGAAGAAACUACUGAGGAGGUGCACCCUCUGUGCCGGAUUACAGGAACCCUCCAUGCUGAUGCAAAUAUGCAAUACACCACCUUUCCUUGAUACUUCAGGCCUAGCGCUGCUGUCGUUUGUUUGCUCUGUCGUCUGUGUGUGAGCUUUUGUUGGUGUACAUCACUAGCUUAAUGUGUGCUAAUUAGUUCAGGCAUCGUUUCAACCUUGUAUGUAAAGCUACAUGUAUAAGCCAAUUGUGUUUCAAUCAAGCAAAAUAAAAUGUGCACCUGUUUUCUUGUAA
Molecule: long non-coding RNA, 2638 nt
Organism: Lolium perenne
Lineage: Eukaryota; Viridiplantae; Streptophyta; Magnoliopsida; Poales; Poaceae
Source: RefSeq, a predicted model, not a curated record